Molecule: small nucleolar RNA, 130 nt
Organism: Acomys russatus (golden spiny mouse)
Lineage: Eukaryota; Metazoa; Chordata; Mammalia; Rodentia; Muridae
Product: small nucleolar RNA SNORA51
Exons: 1
Source: RefSeq, a predicted model, not a curated record
UGCCACCACUGUUGGCCAGGUUGUGUUCUUAUACUGACUGUAUAGAAAGAGGAGGCAGAAUAAACCUAUUCCAUAUACACCUCAUCCUAGGCCAUUAUGCCUGGUCUGUAUUGUGAAUGAGGAGACAUGG